Molecule: long non-coding RNA, 4334 nt
Filed under: Solanum lycopersicum (tomato)
Lineage: Eukaryota; Viridiplantae; Streptophyta; Magnoliopsida; Solanales; Solanaceae
Description: long non-coding RNA (SLYC_LNC000698)
Source: RNAcentral
AAUGUAGUAAGAGUCACGACUCCUUCUAAUGCAUGACUAUUUAAUUUGAGUUGAUAAAUAUUGUUCUCACCUAAAUAAAUACAACCUAUGUAUUACUCAUAUAGUAUGGAGUGAGUAUAGAAGGUCAUCUCUUUAGGUUAACUAUUAUCUAUUAUCUAAUAAUUGAAUGGAUAAUGACUUCUAAUUUAUUUGAGUAGCAGCUAAAAUAAACAUGGAUUUGUGGCUUUAUGUUUUCAGUGUUCCUACUUUUACUUCACUAUGUAUUAUAAUUAUGUCAAAAACAUAUGUAGAAGAAAUUGCUCUAAAUUAUCUAGAUUAUGAUGACUGUUAUCCUAAUCUCCUUAAUCGAUAAGUCAAUCUCGUUAUACGAAUUUAAAACAUGCAUAUAUUAGUUAAUUUAUGAUAUGAAUAACUAAAUGAUAAGGUUGAGACGGUUAUUUUCUAUGCAUUUUUAGACAAUGAUAAUACAGAGUUAAGCUUUUUUACAUAUCUCACCUUUACCUUCAACUAUGUUGUUUCUCCUUUUAUUUUUUGGAGCGCGUGCUAGCACAUACCUAAUAUAUGAUAUUUUUUAAUUUAUAUGUCACAAAUAGAACUUGCAAAGUCUAUCAAAUUUUGUCAUUACAGUAAAGCCUCUGUAAAUUAAUACUCGAUAAAGUAAUAAAUUCUCUAAAAUAAUAUUUUUUUCGGUCUCAACUCAGACCAAUGGAAAAAACAUCAACUUUGAUAAGAUAAUAUAUUUUCAGAUCAUCUCUAUAUAAAUAUUGUCCCAUUAAUAUCAUAAAUUAAUUAUCUUUAAAAAUACAAAUAUAUCUAAAGACAACUGAGUGAAAUAUGAUUUUGUUGUGUUCAUUUUUUUAAAAAAAAUAUAAAAUAAAAAUUAAAUCUGGUUGUAACAUAUCUCUAACUUUUCUGAUAGCAUCCACGAGCUCCGGUAUUUUUUUUUUAAAAUCGUACCAUAAAAUUGUUAGGAGUUCUAGAUGCAAUAAGUGUUUCUUUACGCGUAACUGGUUCCAAAGGUAUAUUAUCAUCUUUAACAUUGUUUUUUCUAUGGUAUUCACAAUAUCUUCUAAGCUCUGGACCUCUGAACAUGUAUUACAUUCACUCAGAUAAUCCAACAGGUUAUUGUCAUCCAUUUUAUUAUGGUAACCGAGAUUAUUAACCAUGACCUCAAGUUCAUGAAUGACGUUUUCAAAAUUAGGUUCAUUCAAAUUUUUCUAAGAUUAAAACCCCCAUGAAUUUUACAGCGUUUAGAACAAUUUCUUAUUGUUUCUUUCUGAACAUUUCUUGUCCAAACAGGGAUUGCAAAAUUGAUAACAUCCAAACAUGAACUUUGCUAAAGUAGUUUGUCCCACUCCAUAGUCUUCUAAUUCAUGCGAUAAAUAUAUGUUUGAUAAUACAUUUUGAAAGAUCUUAUUAUCAAAACAUCACAAGGUUGAAAUUAGUAAGAUACAAAAAUUUUGAUGUAUUCGUUGUACUUUAUGUAUAAUAUAUUUUAUGUAAAAUCAAUAAUUAUGAUAUAUAUAAAUUAGUAAGAUACAAUGAUUUUGAUAUAAUGAAAAUUAAUCUUCAUCAAACCUCAUUUGUCACGACCCAAAAUCACGAGUCGUGAUGGCACCUAUAUUCCCAACCAAUAGGUAAGCCAACCAACAUAUUUUAACAAACUUAACUAACAAGAAGUGAAAAGACAACAAUUUCCAAAUCUCCAACACUGAGUUCUUAUAAGUACGAAUGCGGAAAACUGAAAAAAAGUACUACCCAAGAAAUGGUGUCAUGAGUACAAGAGCUUCUAAAAUACGAUGCAAGUCUGAAACCAAAAAGGCAAAUCUAACAUAAGGGAUAUCCUGUCUGAAUACCGAAUAACAGAAUAAGUAAAAGAUAGAGGGAGGUGUGGGCCACGGAACAGCCAAGCAGCUCACCACAACUCCAAGACACUCCAAACUCGGACUCAAACUGCUCCUCGAGAUGUGCUCCUACUUGGAAUCGAAUCUGCACCACAAAGAGUGCAACAAGUGUAGUAUGAGUACGAAACCACGUGUACUCAGUAUGUCUCAUUGACCGACCACGAAGAAGUAGUGACGGGAGUUAUAUAAGAAAAUAAUUUCUUAGAUUGUACAAGUAUAUAUAUAUAUAUAUUACACUUACUACUUAAGUUUCAUCAAUAAAGGAAAUCAACAUUUAAUAUUUUCCAAACACCAAACGAAACCUAUAGUCAUCAAGAAUGAAUGAUGGGAUGAAAUGCAAUGCAAUAUGAUGCCAUGUAAUGAUAUGUCUCAGAAUACCCAGUACUCACUCAACCGUAUAUACAUGAUACUCCUCGGAAAUACAUCGAGAGUUCAUGACCCAUGGGGGACUCGCGAGGUCCAUAUACCGACACGGACGAUCUCCACGUGUCUGUGCGGACGAUCUCAACGCACUAUCAUAAUAUCAAACAAUUUUCGCACGGACGGUCUCCACGUGCCCAAAUUACAAUCUUAACAUCUCACCAUCCCCAGCACGGACGAUCUCCACGUGCCCAACUUAUACUCAGUCUCAUGUCUAUGCAUGUGCACAAUAUUAUUUCAAUAAAGGGGAUGAUGAUGCAUCUCAAUCAAUCAAUAUGAACAUAAUACAUAACCACCUCAAUUAUCACAACUAUACGGGUGAAUUAAAUAAAACACAAUCACACAAGGAAUCCAAAUCAAUAAUAUAUCAGCUAAUGCCCAUAUGCUUUGGCAUUUCUCAAAUUCUAAUCCACAUUCUAUAAUAGAAAUUUUCCUUUUUAUAACACCGGUACUCGUACCAAUGCCCGUCACACCAUUGAUACGAGACCACCACUUUUUCCCCCUUACUCCAUUGUCUAUUUUCAUUUUUAAUCUUUAAUUAGGAAAACGUCCUUCAACAAGUCUAAAAAGUCUUAACAUACCUCAAGUGCCAAAUUCGUGUCACGAAUCUUCAAGAUAGUUCCUUCCCUUUUUGCAAAGUUUCGUAAUGUUCACGAUCUACCAAUGAUGCAAUAUUCAUAAAUAAGCGAGUUUGUAGACAUUCAUAUUAUUAUAUAUAUAUCAUAGACCCUAAACUCAUUCAUAUCUCUAAUCAAGCGUCAAAUCUUGGUAUAAUUUAUAUGCCAAUUCGUCAAAUUUCAAGCCAAGAACUUAACCUUAACCUCUCCAAAUACCCUAGAUUCAAUGCUAAAUCAUAUAAUAUACACCCAAUAAUUAAUUUCCUAUCUCAAUAUAUCAAAAACUAGUAUCAUAAUUUGAUAAAAUAAAUACAAAUAAGAAUUAAUAAAGAAAAUCAAGGAAUGCGAUAAUGCAGACCACGUUCUUUUUUUUUCGUUUUCUUCAAAUGGUACUGUCAAAUGUCUAACUUGUAAAGGAAUAUGCAUAUAAUUGCAUGAGAACCAAUUGUAUCCAAUGAUUAAGCAAUCAUUGGCCGCCAUUAUCAAAUAAAUCCUAUGCCACAUUAUAGUUUAAAAAAAAACAUUACAGUGACUAUACAUUACACUUUAAUCCCCUCAAAAUAUUAUUUUAUUAUAUUAAUGCAAGUGUACCAUACAAUUACACAUAAACCUUUACAAAUUUGGAUUGAUUUACCUGGAGAUUAAUGUUCUCCGCAGCCGUUGGUCCCUCUCGUCUCCAGGUAGUUUCUAACCUUUAUAUUUUUUUUGUUCUUCUUCUAAAAUAACCUAACUGAUUUGUUUUAAUUAUAUAGUCAAAUGGUAAGGGUUAUUAAAAAAGAGAAUUUGACCCAAUUAUUAUUCAAGUAUAUUAAUUAUAAUAUAGAUAUAUGUAUCAACUAAGUACUCCUAGUUAUCAAAUAGUUUAAAAUACCUCUUAAAUUUUCAAAAGGAGUCGAACUAGUCCUAGUUCUCAAAACGACCUAGCGGGUCGUUACAAAACCAUUCUUUAAAUUAAUAAAUAUUACUUUAUCGAUUAAAUAAUAUCACUUUAAAAUAAAAUUUCAUGGUCCCGCCAAUAUUAAUUUAUAGAGAAUUUAUCGUAUUUUUAAAUAUGAAAAGUUGCUAAUUAGUGUAACUUAUUGAGUAGUAAUUCUUAAGUAAAUUUCAUAUAAUAUGUGUUAUUCUCUCGCAAUUUAUGUUGCAUGGUAGAAUUCAGGAGUGAACCAAUUUUUUAAGUGAUUGACUAUUGUGAUUUAUAGUAUUUCUUAUAUAAUUUUUAAAUAAUAUAUGUUAUUUCUCUAUCCCAAUUUAUGUAGUAGCAUUGAUAGAAUUUCGAAAGUCAAUCAAAAUUUUUGAGUAUAUAAGGUCAUCUCUUUAGGUUAACUAUUAUCUAUUAUCUAAUAAAUGAAUGGAUAAUUACUUCUAAUUUAUUUUAAUAGCUGCUAAAAUAAAC